GGAAUCUUCGGCAAUGGGGGCAACCCUGACCGAGCAACGCCGCGUGAGUGAAGAAGGUUUUCGGAUCGUAAAGCUCUGUUGUAAGUCAAGAACGGGUGUGAGAGUGGAAAGUUCACACUGUGACGGUAGCUUACCAGAAAGGGACGGCUAACUACGUGCCAGCAGCCGCGGUAAUACGUAGGUCCCGAGCGUUGUCCGGAUUUAUUGGGCGUAAAGCGAGCGCAGGCGGUUUGAUAAGUCUGAAGUUAAAGGCUGUGGCUCAACCAUAGUUCGCUUUGGAAACUGUCAAACUUNAGUGCAGAAGGGGAGAGUGGAAUUCCAUGUGUAGCGGUGAAAUGCGUAGAUAUAUGGAGGAACACCGGUGGCGAAAGCGGCUCCCUGGUCUGUAACUGACGCUGAGGCUCGAAAAGCGUGGGGAGCGAACAGGA
RNAcentral lists this ribosomal RNA (428 nucleotides) under uncultured bacterium. Its description in RNAcentral is "partial 16S ribosomal RNA". It matches the Rfam family "Bacterial small subunit ribosomal RNA", at positions 358 to 777 of the family's 1533-position model. The record is from RNAcentral.